GCGACGGGGUCACCCCGAGUGCCAGCCGCUGAGGCUGGCUUUUCCCCAGUGUAAAAAGCAGGGGGAAUAAGCGGGGGGCAAGUUCUGGUGUCAGCCGCCGCGGUAAUACCAGCUCCGCGAGUGGUCGGGGCGUUUAUUGGGCCUAAAGCGUCCGUAGCCGGCCCAGUAAGUUCCUCCUUAAAUCCCAUGGCUCAACCAUGGGGCUGGGAGGAAUACUACUGGGCUAGGGGGCGGGAGAGGCCGAGGGUAUUCCCGGGGUAGGGGCGAAAUCCUAUAAUCCCGGGAAGACCACCAAUGGCGGAGGCACUCGGCCAGAACGCGCCCGACGGUGAGGGACGAAAGCCAGGGGAGCAAAAGGGAUUAGAGACCCCUGUAGUCCUGGCUGUAAACGAUGCGGGCUAGGUGUUGGCUGAGCUUCGGGCUCAGCCAGUGCCGCAGGGAAGCCGUUAAGCCCGCCGCCUGGGGAGUACGGCCGCAAGGCUGAAACUUAAAGGAAUUGGCGGGGGAGCACCACAAGGGGUGGAGGCUGCGGUUCAAUUGGAGUCAACCCCGGGAACCUUACCAGGGGCGACAGCAGGAUGAGGGCCAGGCUAACGACCUUGCCCGACGCGCUGAGAGGAGGUGCAUGGCCGUCGCCAGCUCGUGCCGUGAGGCGUCCGGUUAAGUCCGGUAACGAGCGAGACCCUCGUCUCCAGUUGCGACCAGGACCCAUUGGGUCCUGGGCACACUGGAGAGACUGCCAGCGCUAAGCUGGAGGAAGGAGGGGGCUACGGCAGGUCAGUAUGCCCCGAAAACCCCUGGGCUACACGCGGCCUGCAAUGGUGGGGACAAUGGGUUCCGAACCCGAAAGGGGGAGGUAAUCCCAUAAAACCCCACCUCAGUUGGGAUCGAGGGCUGCAACUCGCCCUCGUGAAC
RNAcentral lists this ribosomal RNA (915 nucleotides) under uncultured crenarchaeote. RNAcentral describes it as "bacterial SSU rRNA". It matches the Rfam family "Archaeal small subunit ribosomal RNA", at positions 367 to 1281 of the family's 1478-position model. The record is from RNAcentral. Lineage: Archaea; Thermoproteati; Thermoproteota.